AAUAACGUUAUUGUUGUUGUUCAUGCUGUUGUUGUUGAUGUCCAUCCCACCACAUGUACACAAUUUACCUUGGGUUUGAUCCAAUACUUUGCACUUAUCCAGGGAUUAUCAUUGAAUUGUAGCCGGUCAAGAAGCUUCAACGAUGGGUGACAUGGCGAAAGAUGGACGAUUCUCGCACAUUGCGAGUGAUCCCAGGUUCAAAACAAUUCCUCGUUCUCAGCGGCAAGUUAAAAUUGACAAGCGUUUCCAAGGAAUGUUCAAAGAUGAACGUUUUAAAAUGAAUUAUACUGUAGACAAAAGAGGAAAACCCAUCUCCCGUACUUCAAAUGAAGACCUAGAACGUUAUUAUGCACUAUCAUCUAGUGAAUCUGAAGAGGAGGAAGACAACGACAAAGAUAGUGAUGACAAAGAUCAUCCAUCCAUUUUGCCCCAAUUAAAAAAGCUUGCCUCCACGUCCAAGAAAUCUGAAGAACUGGAGACUGGUAGUUCAGAUGUUGAAAGUGCAUCCGGUAGUGAGGCAGAAAGUGAACCUGAUGCCUCGGAAGAUGACCGCAAACUUGAGGAUGCGACUGAAAAUCUUAGUGACAAAAUCAAAUCAAAACUGCAUGAUAUGUCAGUGGAUUAUGCAAGAGGAGAAGGAGCAAUUCUUUCUGACAGCUCCUCAGAUGAGGAAAGUAGUGACGAAGACCAGGAUGCAACUGUUGAACAUGGUUGGGGCGAGCUAGAUCGAGAUGCUGAAAGAGCAGAUGACAUAACACACCGUCUCGCCGUCUGUAAUAUGGAUUGGGACCGGAUUAGAGCAGUAGAUCUAAUGGUUCUUUUAAAUUCAUUCACUCCUCCUGGGGGCCUCAUUCGUUCCGUCACAAUAUACCCAUCAGAUUUUGGAUUGAAAAGAAUGAAGCUGGAUGAAGAGGAAGGCCCUACUGAACUCAUUGAAAAUAGCUCCAGGAAAAAGAAUAAGGAUGGUUUUAAUUUAAGUCAAGAUGAUGAGCCGAAAGAUGAUGGUGCUAGUGAUGACGAUGACGAUGAUGGUAGUAGUGAGGAAACAAGACCAGAAGAUGAGAAUGAAGAAGGUAGUAGUUACCACAUGGAAAAGCUAAGACAAUAUCAACUAAACAGAUUAAAAUACUUCUAUGCUAUUGUAGAAUGUGACUCUCCAAACACCGCAAACCACAUUUACACAGAAUGUGAUGGUAUGGAAUAUGAAAGUAGUGCCACUCGGUUAGAUCUGAGAUUUGUACCAGAUGAUACCACAUUUGAACACGCAGCAAAGGAAUCUUGCUCUGGGAUGCCUGAUGCUGGAAAGUACAGGCCUCGUUAUUUCACCACUACAGCUCUGCACCAAGCUAAAGUGGAUUUGACCUGGGAUGAAACAGAUCCCUCGCGUACGGAAAUAACAGAACGUGUUAUGUCGGGCGAUAAUGUAGAUGAUAUUGAUUUGCGCACAUACUUAGCAUCCUCUAGUGGAGAGGAGGAGGAGGUUUCAGAAAAAGUUAACUCUAAGAAGAAGAAGAAGAAGAAUGAAAAGCUUAAUAGCAAUGGUACAAAACUAGUGGGAGAAAAGUCAGACAAUGACCAAACUGACAGCGAAAAUGAGGACAAUGAUGAUCCUAUUGCUAAAUACCGUGCACUGCUGAGUGGAAUAGAGGAGGAAGAAAAUGAAAAGAAUAACAAGGGUGUGCAUAUGGAAAUUUCAUGGGGUCUAGGCCUAAAACAAAAGACUGAUGAAGCAAUAAAAAAGAAAAUGUUGAAAUCAGAGGAGCGAACACCUUUCCAGGAGAUGAUGGACAAGCGUAAACAGAAGCGCCUUGAAAAGAAAAAGCUGAAAGAACAGAAAAAGGCACAGAUAUCUGAACAAAGUGCCAAUGAAAAUGAGGAUGGUACAUAUUCAGAUGAUGAUAUUCCAUCAGACAUAGACAUGAAUGAUCCAUACUUUGCUGAAGAGUUCAAAGAUCAAAAGAAACAAUCAAAGAAAAAGAAAGGAAAGCUCCGUGAAGAUGCUGGUGAAACAGAAGAAGACUUGAAAAACAAGGCGGAACUUGAAUUAUUACUUCUUGACAAGGAGGAUCGGAAGCAUUUCAAUUUUAAGAAAAUCCAAGAGGAAGAAAGUGGUAACCUUAGCAAAAGAAAAAUGAAAGCUAGACGGAAGAAAGGAAAAGAUCUUGAAAAAGAAUCCCAAGAUGAUUUCAAGGUCAACGUUGAUGAUGAUCGCUUUUCUGCAUUAUACUCUUCUCAUCAUUACAACAUUGACCCAACACACCCGAAUUUCCGAAAGGGUCAAGGGAUGGAGGCACUUAUUUCUGCCAAACAAAAGAGACUAGUUGAAUCUAGUCAGGAGAGUUUUUCAGAUAGCAAUCAAAAGCCCCCUCCUCCUAAAAAAGCUAAACGAGAUGCAGAACUUUCCCGUCUUGUCAAAUCUGUUAAGAACAAGGCACAAAACUUGGCCAAAUGAUUAAUUAGGGAUCUCAGGACAUGGUGAGCAAUUCUUGCUAGAGGAAUGUCAGGUGGGUCUGAUUGGAAUGGAGCUGAUCAACAUUAAACUGUGUGUUACAUUAAAGCAAGAUGUGGUACAAACUUCACAAUCAUAAGAUUAGGACUUGACUUGUUAAACAAUUCUGAAGUACUGGUAAGUUGUACAAUGAAACGACCCUAGGUGGAGUGAUUACUGUAAGUUUCACUGAAAGGCUACAUAAUGGGUUAACUGAAUAUAGAUGGAACAGCAUGGAUUUUGUUUGAAAUCAAAGGUCCCAGAUACCUUAAAACUAAGCAUUACACCAACUAGUAUAUUCAGAGACCCCAGUGCUGUAACUUUGUGCCUGUCAAAAUACCAAUUAUUGUACUUAAACAUAACAAAUAUUGUACAGGAUAACCCGGUUCUGGCAUUGACUUUGUAUGCCACACCAUUGUCAUGAAAUGCUAAAAUUAGGCAGCACUGUACAUUGAACUAGUUUGAGAUUGACCAAGAAAUCAAUUCUAGAGUUGUGGAGGGAUGAACUGAUCCAUUAUCCGCAAACAUGAGGA
Thrips palmi is the source of this 3021-nucleotide RNA transcript. It is a transcript of the gene named ESF1 homolog, with no coding region annotated. The transcript has 13 exons. The record is from RefSeq and is a predicted model, not a curated record. NCBI's taxonomy places the organism in Eukaryota, Metazoa, Arthropoda, Insecta, Thysanoptera, Thripidae.